CCCGCACUCUACAACCCUCCCUCUCUCCUCGAUCUCUCUCCCUCAGCCGCCACAAACCCUAGGUCCCUUUCCUACGAUCCCGUGGUCGCUGCCCCUGCUCCAUCCGACCUCCGUGGCGACCGAGGGCCCGAUCCGCGCCAACGCCGUGCGGGCGGCGGCCGGGGCGGGCGCGGAGAGGGCCGAUGCGGCGGCCGCGGGCGGGGCGGUGGCGGCCAAGGCCAGGGAGGACGAGGUCAGGGAGUACAAGAGUGACGUGCUGAACCCCUCCGCGGAGGAGUUCGUGCCGCUCUCCCGCCGCCUGUCGGCCGACGCGCCCGUCUUCGUCUCGCCCGACUACUAUGCUGCUCCGUCCACCGACUCUGUCCGUGCAGGUGGCCAGUUUCCUUCCGCCCCAACCUUUUCCACUGUCUCCCUAGUUCAUCCUCCGUCCUUGUUGCCCGAGAUUCUCAUCUUUUCAGGCAGCGAGGAAGCCACGUGAGGAGAGACCUCGUCUCGAGAAUCCCGGGAGGAGGGGCUCAACCAGAGAGGAGCAGAUGCCAGCCAGGUAGUCGGCUCGGCUCGACGCCGUCUUUCGUGUCUGGGCCGCGGCAGACCCUAGCGCCGUCCUUCAGGUGUCUUCACGGCUGCAGGAGUGUAUGUUCGAGGAUGUAAAUCCAUCUGAUAUGUUGUUGACAGGGAUUAAGAUUAUUGUAUUGACAUAUCUGAGAGUAUUGUACUGACAUAUCUGAGAAUUUAAUGAUCUAUUAGCAACUAGGUGUUAAGCUUCAGGCUGAUGUAUUGGUUGAGAUCGAGGAGAGAGUGAGCCGUUGCAGAGGAGAGGGGAUACGAGGGUGGGCGGAGGUCAGGCAUUGCUAACAGAUUUGAGGAGGAGUGGGAAAGGUGAAGGUGAUGCCGGCCGGCCGGCGCCUCACCACUGGCUCCUGUUUUGCAGCGGCAAAGAGAACGGUGUUGAGGAUGUGUUGCUCUAUGCACGGCUGUCAGAAGUACAUCCUUGCUAUAAUGUAUUUUUCUGUGGCUUUCUCCAUUAGAAUAUUUCUCCUCAACGACCAUAUCAACCUGUCUGGUGUUUGCACAUGUCAUUUUGGUUGAGGUGUGUGCAAGAUCAUCCCUCUCUAAACUAUAAAUUUGUCUGUAUGUUUUGGUAGAUUUGAUUUAUGGGCGGCGAAGGCAGGCUGGCUGUACUACAAGGCGGGGUGCCAUUGUUAUUUUGGUUUUGGCUCAUGAACUUCAAAUCAGUUCUCCUAUGAAAGAAAAUCAAUCUGUGUAUGCAUGAUACUUGUUAAUACUUUAACUGCAGUUUAGGAUACAAAUGUGAUUACAUUAAUCAUUUGUUAAACAGGUUACCGCCAUUCCACCUCUUCCUCGUGAUGGUAUAGGAGUACAUACUAAUUCGAUAAACAAGAGGCAAAGUUGCCAACGCCUGAGAUAGUGGUUCCUACCUCUGGCCUUCGCACCUUUAGUUCCACAAGUAGUUAAGCAACUCAAAUGGUAAGAACUUCAGGGUUCUUUUUUCUCUUUCUUUCUUUCUUUCUUUAUUUCUUUCUUUUCUCUUGGGACUGUUUAUUCUCUGUUUGUAUAUAUUUCCUUUGAUUGAAAUAAAGGAUUGUGUGGCCUUUGCUCCACAUAAGGUAGUCAAAAGAAAGUACUUCCUCUAAUCCAUAUUAGUUGUCGCUGAUUUAGUAGUGUACUAAAUCAAUGACAAUUAAUAUGGAUCAGAGGAGGUAACAUGUAUUUUGUUAAAACUGCUUUAAGUAACUAGGGCCAAGUAACAUACUAUGUGAUUGUUGUGUGUGGUCGUGGCAUGUGAAUCUGAUUAGACCAUCAUAGUUGGAUAAUAGCAGUCUUGGGGAGGAAUACGAUGUGUGUUUCAGAUAUUUAAGAGCGGUUUGAUUAUGUUUCAAUUUCGAAGACAUGGUCGUGGCAUGUGAAUCUGAUUAGACCAUCAUAGUUGGAUAAUAGCAGUCUUGGGGAGGAAUACGAUGUGUGUUUCAGAUAUUUAAGAGCGGUUUGAUUAUGUUUCAAUUUCGAAGACAUGGUUUCGUGUUAUGCCUUAUAAGGUUGAGGCAUGUGCUAUAGAGGCAAGGAAGAUUACUUUGAUUUUGUUGAUUAUUAGGGUUUUUGAUAAUGCAACUUCUUUUGGAAUCUGUUAUUAGUGUUUUAUAUAUUGUUCCCCCAAACGUCCUUUUUUGUUUAGUUAUGUAUUGGCAACCGUUUCCUUCUUCCAUUGUAGUAAGUAGAAGUUAUAUAUUUUCCUGUCCAUGCCCUUCUUUUCCUAGGCCAGCAAUUUGCUUUCUCCUUGGUUUACAGUGGCUGCAGCCUCGUAUUUGUGACGUCGUAGCCCCAAAGGUAUCCUUCUCUCUAUACUGAAUCUGAUUCUUUGCAUUUUGGGUUUGGAUAUGUUUGCUAUUGCCAGCUCUAUUUGCACUUAAUCAAUAUAUGUGCGUGCACUUGUAGAAGUGAAAGAGAAAUUUGGAGGGCGAUAAAGGAAUAUACAUAAGGUCCUGAGGAAAAUGAUACUUGUACAUGGUUUGGAUUACUCGUGUUUUUUUAUUUUGACUGCAAAUAACUUCUCUUUUCAACACACUUAGUACGUGAUCUAGCAAUCACAUUAUAAUAGAGUAAGUGAGAAAAAGCUCUUUAUUUGAAUGACCAAGAAUCCGUGGUGUUCUCCUGAACUGCAAGGAACACUCCACUACGAAACUCACUUAAGCAGGUUGAUAGAUGAUACCUUGUCUUGAGCCUAUUUUCUCAAAAUAAUGAGAGGCUGAAUGAUUCAGACACAGGAUGAACUUUCUCACCUCAUCAUUUCAUUACAUUUUGAUUUCAUUGUGUGGUGUGCUUCGAUCUAGGUGAGUUGAGUUGCUGCUUGGUUGGAGAUGUUGAUGUCGCUCGAGACGCCCGCUGGAUUCACCCUUUUCAAGGUUCUGAAUAAGGGCAAGCUCGACAAGGUCGAGCUGAGUGUUCGUCACCACCUUAGCUCUUGGUUUGGUUUGGAUUACUCAUGUUUUUUAUUUUGACUGCAAAAUAACUUCUCUUUUCAACACACUUAGUACGUGAUCUAGCAAUCACAUUAUAAUAGAGUAAGUGAGAAAAAGCUCUUUAUUUGAAUGAUCAAGAAUCCGUGGUGUGCUCCUGAACUGCAAGGAACACUCCACUACGAAACUCACUUAAGCAGGCUGAUAGAUGAUGUCUUGUCUUGAGCCUAUUUUCUCAAAAUAAUGAGAGGCUGAAUGAUUCAGACACAGGCUGAACCAUCUUUCUCACUUCAUCAUUUUGUUACAUUUGAUUACUGAUUCAUCAAGGAGUUGUUGUUCUGCGUUCACUUAUUUCCCCAAACUAUAUGUACGCAUCGCUCGCAAAAGAAAUCGAUUUAAAUCCUCUCCGAAAAAAUUUGGACUGUUGUAAGUUGAAAAAAUGCAUGUGUUCUGUAAGCACUUGAAUUGAAGGGCAAAAUGAAAAUGCAUGUGUUGGUAUGCUGUUGCUGGCCCAUAUAUCCCAAGACAGGGUAUACAGAUAGCUUUUGACCUUGCCAGAGCGUAAGUAGUUCAUUUGGUUAAUCUGUUUUGCGUUUUGACAUGCAUCAUUUGUUGCAGACUGCUAGAUCGAUGCUACUUCCAUUAUUAUUAUUUUUUAUUGCCUAAGCACCGAACAAGCACUCUUGCAUUGGAGGUGCCCUGAAUGGCUUCUACAGAUUUGUCCCAAUGCAAUUAGCAGGCUAGCAUAUUUGAAAAAUGAAAUUUUGAAUGACAUAUAGCAGGAUAUGCAUCUAUUCCUACUCCUAUCUUAUAUGGACAAAUAGAUCUAACAGCUGGCUUGCUUGCUUGCAGUGGUACAGGUGUGAUCUUCAUGGAGCUAGCCAUCAUUGGAUUUGGUAAUACAUAAUCACUUAUUCAGAGAGCCCAAGGUGAGAAGGGAUGAGCAUCUAGAACACCACCACCUACUAAUCAGUGAGCUACUAUCUGUAUUUCAAUGAGUUACUUAACAAGAGAAGGCAGGAGUUUCCUACCUUUCUUCUGCAAAUAUGGAAUGCCUUUAUGGCAUGAUCAUGUGAAAAAAGUACCUUGAUGCAGUAAUGGAUUUGAUUAUCACUGGUUACUCUGUUUUCACGAAUUACUAUCCAACUGUAUGUAGAUAGCCGACAAUGUUAUUGUUCAAAUGUACUCGAGCCAGGUUUUCGGUGUUUCAUUGCAACCAAAAGAAUUGGUAAUAUUGUUUUGAUGAAAACAUGGCCGCACUUGUCGGUGUUGUAGUGGCAUAGGAAUUUUUCCCCUAAGAUCCACUAUGAAGUUGAUUAAAAAGUCCAUUUUCCCUAAGAUCCACUAUGACAAUGAAAAAGAUUUCUGAAAACUGUGUCACCAUAAAUGUUCCAUCAUUGUCCAUAGUAGACCCAUGCCAUAUUAAUUUCAGAAGAAUAAUUUCUUAUUCAGAUGUUCAUUGUGUUUUUAUGUACUGCUAUAUCUAAAAAAGCAAGUUUCAGCUAAAACCAGAGCCGUGGUUAAGAUACUCUUCGCACCUAGGAUAUGUGUAUAUGUUCAGAUUUCUAACUUUAAACUAUAGUUUUAGAAAAUGUGGUGCCCUCGCUUAUUUUUCUAAUGCAUGAACUGGGUAUGUUUUAUGUGUAAUGCGUGCUUGAUUUCUUUUUGGUUCUGGUGGAUUUUGAUUUUGUCCACCAUGCUUCUCUCCAAAGAGAUGAGUCUGUUUUCGCAGCAGCGGGUGAUGCAUGUGCUUAUUGUUGGCUGUUGCUAUGUGGUAUGCAUUUUCUCAUUGUUGGCUGUUUGUUGUUUGCUAUAAUUUGUCGUUAAUAGAGUAGUUUCUCCUUUAUUGCAUUGCAUAAUGCUAGCAAGCUACAUUGCACCAUAAACAAAAAUAAUCCUCUUCCAAGGUUAAACCUGUUUUUUCCUUCUAGCAAAGAUCUCUGGAAAAGUUCAAUUCCGUUAGCCUAUAAUAUUGCAGUUCUUUCGUAUCCUUCAAAGAUUUAUAAAUAUUUUCUGUUUCCACUCCAUUCGUUCUCAUGGAUUCUGAAAAAAAUAUUUUUGUUUUUUGUUGAUUAAUAAUAUUGCUCUCCCUUCCAGUUUUGAGGUGGUCGAUGCAUGUAGAAUAUACAGACUUUCCUAGAAUGGCGCCUUUUAGUUUUUCUGCUUGAUGUUAGUUCAUUGAUGAGAACACCUAUGUACAUGAUUGCUGCAUGCAUGAUAUCCUAGUAUACACUGAGAAAUAUUUUUGUUUUCCGGACAUUGUUUUCUAAAUCGUAUCAACAUAUUACCUGAUAUGGUCUUUGAAGUUUCUAUUUUAUAGCGACUCUCUGCACUGGUCAACUUGAGUAUGGUAUGGUUAUCUUUCCUUUUGUUUACAAGAGAUGUGUGGUAGAAGCUGUACUCACAGGAAGACUAUCAUGCUGUGUAUAAACCACGUUCUACGAUUCACUUCUGUUAUGCAUAUUUACUUUCCAGUUUUAGGACUGAAAUCCAUCCAUUGUAAUGAAUUUGGUUGUAUGGGCACUACCUAUUUGACUUAGGCUUGCUUCAUCACAUAUAGACUGCUUUUUCUUUUCCCCAUUGCUUGUAUGACCUAAAACUAUCAUGUAUAUGAGGCAAGUUUUUAGCAAUGUUUCACAUUUUCUUACUUGCAAUACUGUGCUUGCCUAUUCAGGUGUUCCAAGACCCAAAUCAUCAGAAAAACAACACAUACAACACUUUUUUCUUUUGAACUUUGGUUACCCUUAUACAAGCCCCUGUUCAUUUUGUUUAUAUAGUGGUUAGAAUAGUAACCAUAUGUGCUUGCUCAAUACUGAUAGAUGGAAUAUUUUCAAAGCAUGUAUGGUGUGGGUCUGCAAUUUGGCGCAAUGGGAGAUUACUGAAAAAUACACAUUUUUUCAACAUGACAUGGUCUUGAAAUGGGAGUCUACUAUCAAAUUAAAAUGUGUAGGUACAUCUCAUUGUAGAUGACAAGUAUCUAUUUUUUUAUUAAAGGGGGUUAAAUUUGUUAUCAUAUAUGCUUGCCUGCUACUAAAACAACUAAAACAUGGAAUUUCUUUUCAUACUGAAGAUGGAUUCAGUGGGUCUCUACGCCAUUUUGUUACCCAACUGACGCCAUUUUGUUACCCAACUGACGAACUGAGAAAGAAAGGAAGGGGAUAGACAGUCUUCGUUGGCUCUGCCCCCUGUCGCUUCAUAUUCAGCUCCUCACGGGCUACAGGCAUCGCUCUACGUGGGUUGGGCUAAAUAAUAUAUGGGCUAUCAUAAUACCUCCUGAUCAUUAUAUCUCCGAAUAUGCACAAUAAAGGCAUGUUUUUUUCUUAGGUUUCUUAUCUUUUUCCUCUUUUUUUUGCAGGAAAAAUAUGCAUGGCCAGGUUUCUCAUCAUGAUAACCAUGUUUCCAAACCUGCUAAAAAAAUACAACUAUGCCAACUUUACUCUCUCAUCAUAGUGCCCAUAUUUUCAAACUGAACAUAUGCAUAUUAUGCAAAGUUUCCCUUUUCUUAGACUAUUAUCUAACAACGUAAUAAACAUGUUUAAAAAAUAGCAUGAUUUAGUUGAAGGUUCUUUCAGCAUGAAACUAUUUUCAUUGACAACAUGUCUUCAGUAGGUCUAUGCGUCAUUUGGCGCAACGGGUCAACUAGUACAGAUGAAAAAAUAAAGGACGAGGAUCGAACAUGCGACCAGGGCCUUCAAGCUGCACGUCAAUAGGCAACAUAUGUAGAACAUCAAUGUUUGUUGUACCUCCCUUUGUUCACAUAAUAUUUUUAUAUUAUCACAGCCUAUUUAAUUGAUAACAUUUAAUAUUAUUUUUAGUACUAUUUGCCUUCACUUAUUGGUGGGUUUCAUGUGUGCUCUCUCUCUCCUCUCCUGCGUUUAGAUGCACGGGCAAACAUGAAGAACUCGCGGGCGAUGUUGUAGUUGACCAUAUCUGGAC
Triticum dicoccoides is the source of this 6911-nucleotide long non-coding RNA. RefSeq lists it as uncharacterized. The record is from RefSeq and is a predicted model, not a curated record. The transcript has 6 exons. NCBI's taxonomy places the organism in Eukaryota, Viridiplantae, Streptophyta, Magnoliopsida, Poales, Poaceae.